GUUUCGUCACGGUUUCGGGACUCCUCGGGAAAAAAAAAAAAAAUCGAGGAAACGUGAAGGAAAACCAGAGUAGCACGGAAGACAACAAAUAGCUGCAGCUGGGAUGGAGGGUUCCCAGUUGGUUCUCACCCACAGACUCCAGUUCAGAUUGACUGGGACGUGUCUGCUCAGACGCAACAAUGACCCAAGAGUGUUUGUGAGCUGAGGAGCUUGUACUUCCAGAUGUUUCCUGAUGCUGCAUGUAAAAGUAGCAGCUGGAUCCACUGGCCCACACCUCCCUAAGAGCAGCUGUGCCACGUUGUCCCAGACACAACGCAUCAUCCAGAUGUGACUCGGAUUUUCCUCUGCAAGUGUACAGUGCGUGUAAACAUUGAUCAACAUUAUGUUUCGUGCUCAUAUGAGCACGUUGUACUCUUCUGCCUCCUGACGUUUCUAAUGAGGGUUUCGCGUAAUCAGUUGGUCAGUUACAUGCCUGUACAGUUAUAUUGCUUUCACUGUAGCACUGUACAACCAUGUCUUGAUCCUGAAUUCAUCAACAGACAAUAAA
This is a long non-coding RNA of Xiphias gladius (swordfish), 547 nucleotides long. RefSeq lists it as uncharacterized. The transcript has 3 exons. Lineage: Eukaryota; Metazoa; Chordata; Actinopteri; Istiophoriformes; Xiphiidae. The record is from RefSeq and is a predicted model, not a curated record.